UGGGGAAUAUUGCACAAUGGGCGAAAGCCUGAUGCAGCAACGCCGCGUGAGUGAUGAAGGCCUUCGGGUUGUAAAGCUCUGUCUUCUGGGACGAUAAUGACGGUACCAGAGGAGGAAGCCACGGCUAACUACGUGCCAGCAGCCGCGGGAAUACGUAGGUGGCAAGCGUUGUCCGGAUUUACUGGGCGUAAAGGAUGCGUAGGCGGAUAUUUAAGUGAGAUGUGAAAUUCCCGGGCUUAACUUGGGAGCUGCAUUUCAAACUGGGUAUCUAGAGUGUGGGAGAGGAAAGUGGAAUUCCUAGUGUAGCGGUGAAAUGCGUAGAGAUUAGGAAGAACCCCGGUGGCGAAGGCGACUUUCUGGACCAUAACUGACGCUGAGGCAUGAAAGCGUGGGGAGCAAACA
RNAcentral lists this ribosomal RNA (402 nucleotides) under uncultured bacterium. RNAcentral's name for it is "bacterial SSU rRNA". It matches the Rfam family "Bacterial small subunit ribosomal RNA", at positions 355 to 774 of the family's 1533-position model. The record is from RNAcentral.